This 801-nucleotide ribosomal RNA is filed under the name uncultured bacterium. RNAcentral describes it as "bacterial SSU rRNA". It matches the Rfam family "Bacterial small subunit ribosomal RNA", at positions 77 to 897 of the family's 1533-position model. The record is from RNAcentral.
GCUAUAAUUGUCAGCUAAGUGGCGCACGGGUGAGUAAUGUAUAGAUAACCUGCCCUUAAGAAAGGAAUAACAGUUGGAAACGACUGCUAAUGCCCUAUAUGCCUUUAAUACAUAAGUAUGCAAGGGAAACGCUUUAGUGCUUAAGGAUGGGUCUGUAUGGUAUCAGCUUGUUGGUGAGGUAAUGGCUCACCAAGGCUAUGACGCCUAACUGGUUUGAGAGGAUGAUCAGUCACACUGGAACUGAGACACGGUCCAGACUCCUACGGGAGGCAGCAGUGGGGAAUAUUGCACAAUGGACGAAAGUCUGAUGCAGCAACGCCGCGUGGAGGAUGACACAUUUCGGUGCGUAAACUCCUUUUAUAUAGGAAGAUAAUGACGGUACUAUAUGAAUAAGCACCGGCUAACUCCGUGCCAGCAGCCGCGGUAAUACGGAGGGUGCAAGCGUUACUCGGAAUCACUGGGCGUAAAGAGCGUGUAGGCGGGUAUAUAAGUCAGAAGUGAAAUCCAAUAGCUCAACUAUUGAACUGCUUUUGAAACUGUAUACCUAGAAUGUGGGAGAGGUAGAUGGAAUUUCUGGUGUAGGGGUAAAAUCCGUAGAGAUCAGAAGGAAUACCGAUUGCGAAGGCGAUCUACUGGAACAUUAUUGACGCUGAGACGCGAAAGCGUGGGGAGCAAACAGGAUUAGAUACCCUGGUAGUCCACGCCCUGAACGAUGUACACUAGUUGUUGUGAGGCUCGACCUUGCAGUAAUGCAGUUAACACAUUAAGUGUACCGCCUGGGGAGUACGGUCGCAAGAUUAA